GACGAACGCUGGCGGCGUGCUUAACACAUGCAAGUCGAGCGAUGAAAGCCUUAUGAACUAUUCGUAGUGAUUGGGGCCGGAUUAGCGGCGGACGGGUGAGUAACGCGUGAGCGACCAACCUUGCACAGGGGGAUAACGGACCGAAAGGUUCACUAAUACCGCAUAAGACCACGGUGUUGCAUGACACAGAGGUCAAAGGAGCAAUCCGGUGCAAGACGGGCUCGCGUUCGAUUAGGUAGUUGGAGGGGUAACGGCCCACCAAGCCUAUGAUCGGUAGCCGACCUGAGAGGGUGAUCGGCCACAUUGGAACUGAGAUACGGUCCAAACUCCUACGGGAGGCAGCAGUGGGGAAUAUUGGGCAAUGGGGGAAACCCUGACCCAGCAACGCCGCGUGAAGGAAGAAGGUUUUCGGAUUGUAAACUUCUGUCCUUGGUGAAGAGAAGAAGACGGUAGCCAAGGAGGAAGCCCCGGCUAACUACGUGCCAGCCGCCGCAGUAA
RNAcentral lists this ribosomal RNA (498 nucleotides) under uncultured bacterium. Its description in RNAcentral is "partial 16S ribosomal RNA". It matches the Rfam family "Bacterial small subunit ribosomal RNA", at positions 28 to 523 of the family's 1533-position model. The record is from RNAcentral.